UACGUAGGGUGCGAGCGUUAAUCGGAAUUACUGGGCGUAAAGCGUGCGCAGACGGUUGCGUAAGUCAGAUGUGAAAGCCCCGGGCUCAACCUGGGAAUUGCAUUUGAGACUGCGUAGCUAGGGUGCGGAAGAGGGAAGCGGAAUUUCCGGUGCAGCGGUGAAAUGCGUAGAUAUCGGAAGGAACACCAGUGGCGAAAGCGGCUUCCUGGUCCAGCACCGACGUUCAGGCACGAAAGCGUGGGGAGCAAACAGG
This 253-nucleotide ribosomal RNA is filed under the name uncultured bacterium. RNAcentral describes it as "partial 16S ribosomal RNA". It matches the Rfam family "Bacterial small subunit ribosomal RNA", at positions 524 to 776 of the family's 1533-position model. The record is from RNAcentral.